RNAcentral lists this ribosomal RNA (435 nucleotides) under uncultured bacterium. Its description in RNAcentral is "bacterial SSU rRNA". It matches the Rfam family "Bacterial small subunit ribosomal RNA", at positions 29 to 507 of the family's 1533-position model. The record is from RNAcentral.
AACGAACGCUGGCGGCAGGCCUAAAACAUGCAAGUCGAACGGGUGUAGCAAUACAUCAGUGGCGCACGGGUGAGUAACGCGUGGGAACGUGCCCUUCAGUACGGGACAACGUCGGGAAACUGACGCUAAUACCGUAUAAUAUCUCCGGAUCAAAGAUUUAUCGCUGAAGGAUCGGCCCGCGUCUGAUUAGUUUGUUGGUGAGGUAACGGCUCACCAAGACUACGAUCAGUAGCUGGUCUGAGAGGAUGAUCAGCCACACUGGGACUGAGACACGGCCCAGACUCCUACGGGAGGCAGCAGUUAGGAAUAUUGGACAAUGGGGGAAACCCUGAUCCAGCCAUGCCGCGUGUGUGAUGAAGGCCUUAGGGUUGUAAAGCACUUUCGUUGGGGAUGAUAAUGACCGUACCCAAAGAAGAAGCCACGGCUAAAUUCGUG